Molecule: ribosomal RNA, 229 nt
Filed under: uncultured bacterium
Lineage: Bacteria
Description: partial 16S ribosomal RNA
Rfam family: Bacterial small subunit ribosomal RNA
Source: RNAcentral
AGAGUUUGAUCCUGGCUCAGGAUGAACGCUGGCGGCGUGCCUAACACAUGCAAGUCGAGCGAAGCAUUUUACUUUGAAUCUUUCGGGAGGACGAGUGAUCUGACUGAGCGGCGGACGGGUGAGUAACGCGUGGGUAACCUGCCUCACACAGGGGGAUAACAGUUAGAAAUGACUGCUAAUACCGCAUAAGACCACAGCACCGCAUGGUGCAGGGGUAAAAACUCCGCGG